RNAcentral lists this ribosomal RNA (492 nucleotides) under uncultured bacterium. RNAcentral's name for it is "partial 16S ribosomal RNA". It matches the Rfam family "Bacterial small subunit ribosomal RNA", at positions 29 to 507 of the family's 1533-position model. The record is from RNAcentral.
AGUGAACGCUGGCGGUAGGCCUAACACAUGCAAGUCGAACGGCAGCACAGUAAGAGCUUGCUCUUACGGGUGGCGAGUGGCGGACGGGUGAGGAAUACAUCGGAAUCUACUUUUUCGUGGGGGAUAACGUAGGGAAACUUACGCUAAUACCGCAUACGACCUACGGGUGAAAGCAGGGGAUCUUCGGACCUUGCGCGAUUGAAUGAGCCGAUGUCGGAUUAGCUAGUUGGCGGGGUAAAGGCCCACCAAGGCGACGAUCCGUAGCUGGUCUGAGAGGAUGAUCAGCCACACUGGAACUGAGACACGGUCCAGACUCCUACGGGAGGCAGCAGUGGGGAAUAUUGGACAAUGGGCGCAAGCCUGAUCCAGCCAUGCCGCGUGGGUGAAGAAGGCCUUCGGGUUGUAAAGCCCUUUUGUUGGGGAAGAAGAGCAGCAGGUUAAUACCCCGCUGUUCUGACGGUACCCAAAGAAUAAGCACCGGCUAACUUCGUG